This 195-nucleotide ribosomal RNA is filed under the name Plasmodium gallinaceum. RNAcentral's name for it is "large subunit ribosomal RNA (LSUE)". It matches the Rfam family "Bacterial large subunit ribosomal RNA", at positions 1921 to 2116 of the family's 2925-position model. RNAcentral also lists the same sequence under 1 other name. The record is from RNAcentral. Lineage: Eukaryota; Apicomplexa; Aconoidasida; Haemosporida; Plasmodiidae.
UGAUAAACGGCGGCUGUAUCGUAAACGGUCCUAAGGUAGCAAAAUUCCUUGUCGGGUAAUCUCCGUCCUGCAUGAACGGUGUAACGACUUCCCCAUUGUCGCUAGUGUGAGACUCCUAAUAAAUAGAAUUAUCCAUGAAUAUGUGGAAUACUACGGCCCGACGGUAAGACCCUGAGCACCUUAACUUCCCUAAAA